UCGGCCUACGGGACGCAGCAGUGGGGAAUAUUGCACAAUGGGGGGAACCCUGAUGCAGCGACGCCGCGUGGGUGAAGGAGCACCUCGGUGCGUAAAGCCCUAUCGGCAGGGAAGAAACAGACGGUACCUGACUAAGAAGCCCCGGCUAACUACGUGCCAGCAGCCGCGGUAAUACGUAGGGGGCAAGCGUUAUCCGGAUUUAUUGGGUUUUAAGGGUGCGUAGGCGGGUUGUCAAGUCAGCGGGAAAAAUUCCGGGCUCAACCCGGUCCCGCCGGUGAAACUGG
RNAcentral lists this ribosomal RNA (284 nucleotides) under uncultured bacterium. Its description in RNAcentral is "partial 16S ribosomal RNA". It matches the Rfam family "Bacterial small subunit ribosomal RNA", at positions 334 to 636 of the family's 1533-position model. The record is from RNAcentral.